Molecule: ribosomal RNA, 954 nt
Filed under: Bacillus cereus
Lineage: Bacteria; Bacillati; Bacillota; Bacilli; Caryophanales; Bacillaceae
Description: bacterial SSU rRNA
Rfam family: Bacterial small subunit ribosomal RNA
Source: RNAcentral
GAUCCUGGCUCAGGAUGAACGCUGGCGGCGUGCCUAAUACAUGCAAGUCGAGCGAAUGGAUUAAGGGCUUGCUCUUAUGAAGUUAGCGGCGGACGGGUGAGUAACACGUGGGUAACCUGCCCAUAAGACUGGGAUAACUCCGGGAAACCGGGGCUAAUACCGGAUAACAUUUUGAACCGCAUGCUUCGAAAUUGAAAGGCGGCUUCGGCUGUCACUUAUGGAUGGUCCCCCGUCGCAUUAGCUAGUUGGGGAGGUAACGGCUCACCAAGGCAACGAUGCGUAGCCGACCUGAGAGGGUGAUCGGCCACACUGGGACUGAGACACGGCCCAGAUUCCUACGGGAGGCAGCAGUAGGGAAUCUUCCGCAAUGGACGAAAGUCUGACGGAGCAACGCCGCGUGAGUGAUGAAGGCUUUCGGGUCGUAAAACUCUGUUGUUAGGGAAGAACAAGUGCUGGUUGAAUAAGCUGGCACCUUGACGGUACCUAACCAGAAAGCCACGGCUAACUACGUGCCAGCAGCCGCGGUAAUACGUACGUGGCAAGCGUUAUCCGGAAUUAUUGGGCGUAAAGCGCGCGCAGGUGGUUUCUUAAGUCUGAUGUGAAAGCCCACGGCUGAACCGUGGAGGGUCAUUGGAAACUGGGAGACUUGAGUGCAGAAGAGGAAAGUGGAAUUCCAUGUGUAACGGUGAAAUGCGUAGAGAUAUGGAGGAACACCAGUGGCGAAGGCGACUUUCUGGUCUGUAACUGACACUGAGGCGCGAAAGCGUGGGGAGCAAACAGGAUUAGAUACCCUGGUAGUCCACGCCGUAAACGAUGAGUGCUAAGUGUUAGAGGGUUUCCGCCCUUUAGUGCUGAAGUUAACGCAUUAAGCACUCCGCCUGGGGAGUACGGCCGCAAGGCUGAAACUCAAAGGAAUUGACGGGGGCCCGCACAAACGGUGGAGCAUGUGGUUUA